RNAcentral lists this unclassified non-coding RNA (393 nucleotides) under Hevea brasiliensis (rubber tree). Lineage: Eukaryota; Viridiplantae; Streptophyta; Magnoliopsida; Malpighiales; Euphorbiaceae. The record is from RNAcentral.
UCCGGACCAAAUCGCUUUGUUGAUUCAAAGGCAACGGAGUUUGGAGUGGAAUGAAAUGCAUAUGAUGUUCAUGGUCUUCAUUUCAAUUGCAAGAUUCAUCUCUCCACGUACUCGAUUAAAAUUGAAAACCAAGUGCCCAUUUGCCAUCAAAAUGCAAAACGGAAAUCCUAAAAUUAGAGGGCUAAUAAACCAUGAAUUUCAAUCCUGAGCCCUAACUCCUAAAAUAAACCUACUAUGCUCAUUUUACAUACCCUAAAUUUUUCCUCCGAGUUCAAAUUCUACCCUAAAAUCUAAUCAGAUCCAUACAUUCACAAAUGCAGCUUUAUUUCCAAAAUAUGUAAUCAAACCGAAACCAAUAGCUUAAAAAAAGCAUCAUCGAAAAAGAUAUUCAGA